This 253-nucleotide ribosomal RNA is filed under the name uncultured bacterium. Its description in RNAcentral is "partial 16S ribosomal RNA". It matches the Rfam family "Bacterial small subunit ribosomal RNA", at positions 524 to 776 of the family's 1533-position model. The record is from RNAcentral.
GACAGAGGGGGCAAGCGUUGCUCGGAAUCACUGGGCGUAAAGGGCGCGUAGGCGGCGAGGCAAGUCGGAUGUGAAAUCCCGGGGCUCAACCCCGAAACUGCAUUCGAUACUGCUUUGCUUGAGUACUGGAGAGGAGACUGGAAUUUACGGUGUAGCAGUGAAAUGCGUAGAUAUCGUAAGGAAGACCAGUGGCGAAGGCGAGUCUCUGGACAGUUACUGACGCUGAGGCACGAAGGCCAGGGGAGCAAACGGG